Molecule: ribosomal RNA, 878 nt
Filed under: uncultured Corynebacteriaceae bacterium
Lineage: Bacteria; Bacillati; Actinomycetota; Actinomycetes; Mycobacteriales; Corynebacteriaceae
Description: bacterial SSU rRNA
Rfam family: Bacterial small subunit ribosomal RNA
Source: RNAcentral
GAGUUUGAUCCUGGCUCAGAUUGAACGCUGGCGGCAGGCCUAACACAUGCAAGUCGAGCGGUAACAGAUCCAGCUUGCUGGAUGCUGACGAGCGGCGGACGGGUGAGUAAUGCAUAGGAAUCUGCCCGAUAGUGGGGGAUAACCUGGGGAAACCCAGGCUAAUACCGCAUACGUCCUACGGGAGAAAGGGGGCUCCGGCUCCCGCUAUCGGAUGAGCCUAUGUCGGAUUAGCUGGUUGGUGAGGUAACGGCUCACCAAGGCGACGAUCCGUAGCUGGUCUGAGAGGAUGAUCAGCCACAUCGGGACUGAGACACGGCCCGAACUCCUACGGGAGGCAGCAGUAGGGAAUCUUCCACAAUGGGCGAAAGCCUGAUGGAGCAAUACCGCGUGAGUGAAGAAGGUCUUCGGAUCGUAAAGCUCUGUUGUUAGAGAAGAACAAGAGGUGUAGUAACUGGCACCUCCUUGACGGUAUCUAACCAGAAAGUCACGGCUAACUACGUGCCAGCAGCCGCGGUAAUACGUAGGGUGCGAGCGUUGUCCGGAAUUACUGGGCGUAAAGAGCUCGUAGGUGGUUUGUCGCGUCGUCUGUGAAAUCCCGGGGCUUAACCUCGGGCGUGCAGGCGAUACGGGCAUAACUUGAGUGCUGUAGGGGAGACUGGAAUUCCUGGUGUAGCGGUGAAAUGCGCAGAUAUCAGGAGGAACACCAAUGGCGAAGGCAGGUCUCUGGGCAGUAACUGACGCUGAGGAGCGAAAGCAUGGGUAGCGAACAGGAUUAGAUACCCUGGUAGUCCAUGCCGUAAACGGUGGGCGCUAGGUGUAGGGGACUUCCACGUCUUCUGUGCCGCAGCUAACGCAUUAAGCGCCCCGCCUGGGGAGUA